Molecule: RNA transcript, 939 nt
Organism: Arabidopsis lyrata subsp. lyrata
Lineage: Eukaryota; Viridiplantae; Streptophyta; Magnoliopsida; Brassicales; Brassicaceae
Exons: 2
Source: RefSeq, a predicted model, not a curated record
CGAAAAUAAAGGAACAGUGCGUUUAGAAGCGAAACACGAGUGUUAAGUUACACUCAGGUGUAGUGCCACGUGUGAGAUUCUGGUUGGUUAUGUUUAUUUCUAAUUGCAAAAUUAUUUUCAGUUGUGGGGGAAAAAAUAAAUCGGUUCUCUUCUCAAAAUCGAGCUCUUCUUCUCUGAUUCGAGCUUCCUUCUUCUCCCAAAAUCUUCAAGACAAGGUAAGAUCAUUCUUCUAUAAGCUUAGCUUUUCUCUUUUCUUCUUCAUCUUAUCGUCUCCGUUGAUUAUAUCUUCUCGAUUUUGGUGACUCCAACACAAUUUUACUCAUCCUUCAGCGAUCUCGAUCCCAACUAUUUGAUUUGAUUUGAUUUAUUGGUUGAUAAUUUGUUUUUUUGUGAUUUAUAGAGUGGUGAAUCGGAAAAAUGUCGCAGUCGUCUGUUGAUUUGCCGCCAAAAGGUGGGUUUAGCUUCGAUUUGUGCAAAAGGAAUGAUAUGCUUACACAGAAGGGUCUUAAAGCUCCGUCGUUUCUCAAGACUGGAACAACUAUUGUUGGGUUAAUUUUCCAGUAUGAUUCGCACACAAAACAAAGCGUGGAGCUGCUGCACUUGCACUUAUGGUUUUUGUGUUACAUGGUCUUUGUGUUAAUGGAGAGAUUGAAAGCGGGUAAUAAAGAGUAUAUGUAUGUAUUAGAAGUGAAACUAUAAUCAUAGCCUCUAAAAAGGUUCACAUUGUCUUUGCUAUGACAUUAGACAACGACUCGGUAUCACUUGUGUUUUUGUUGUUACUCCUAUGGUUUCUCCUGUUACUUUGAUUUUCUAAUGUUUGAUUGUCUAGCUAUUUAGUUCACUCGAUUAGUAGUGAACUUUUCUUAGUUAAGAGCUUUGCGUUAUCUUUUUGGAUAUUGGUUCUACCACACACUUAUAUUAUAGUUUUCCUCAUGUAUU